This 468-nucleotide ribosomal RNA is filed under the name uncultured bacterium. RNAcentral describes it as "partial 16S ribosomal RNA". It matches the Rfam family "Bacterial small subunit ribosomal RNA", at positions 28 to 507 of the family's 1533-position model. The record is from RNAcentral.
GACGAACGCUGGCGGCGGGCUUAACACAUGCAAGUCGAACGGAAAGGCCCUGCUUGUUUGGGGUUCUCGAGGGGCAAACGGGUGAGUAACACGUGAGUAACCUGCCCUGGACUUUGUGAUAACUGCAGGAAACUGGGGCUAAUACCGGAGAGGAGCGCCUGCUGCAUGGUGGGGGUUGGAAAGUUUCGGCGGUUGGGGCUGGACUCGCGGCUUAUCAGCUGGUUGGUCGGGUAGUGGCUUACCAAGGGUUUGACGGGUCGCCGGCAUGAGAGCGUGACCGCACACCUUGCGCCUGCGAUACGCAGCAGUCUCCUACGGGAGGCAGUAGUGGGGAAUCUUGUCCAAUGGGGGGAAGCGUGAUGAAGAAACGUUGCGUGUGGGAUGCCCGCCUUCGGGUUGUAAACCGCUUUAGCUUGUGACGAAGCGUGAGUGACGGUAAUGGGUAAAGAAGCACCGGCUAACUACGUG